This 301-nucleotide ribosomal RNA is filed under the name uncultured bacterium. Its description in RNAcentral is "partial 16S ribosomal RNA". It matches the Rfam family "Bacterial small subunit ribosomal RNA", at positions 509 to 807 of the family's 1533-position model. The record is from RNAcentral.
CAGCCGCCGCGGUAAUACAGAGGGUGCGAGCGUUAAUCGGAUUUACUGGGCGUAAAGCGUGCGUAGGCGGCUUCUUAAGUCGGAUGUGAAAUCCCUGAGCUUAACUUAGGAAUUGCAUUCGAUACUGGGAAGCUAGAGUAUGGGAGAGGAUGGUAGAAUUCCAGGUGUAGCGGUGAAAUGCGUAGAGAUCUGGAGGAAUACCGAUGGCGAAGGCAGCCAUCUGGCCUAAUACUGACGCUGAGGUACGAAAGCGUGGGGAGCAAACAGGAUUAGAUACCCCUGUAGUCCCUGUCUCUUAUAC